This 462-nucleotide ribosomal RNA is filed under the name uncultured bacterium. Its description in RNAcentral is "partial 16S ribosomal RNA". It matches the Rfam family "Bacterial small subunit ribosomal RNA", at positions 28 to 505 of the family's 1533-position model. The record is from RNAcentral.
GACGAACGCUGGCGGCGUGCUUAACACAUGCAAGUCGAACGGAAAGGCCCCUUUGGGGGUACUCGAGUGGCGAACGGGUGAGUAACACGUGAGUAACCUGCCCUUGACUUCGGGAUAACUUCAGGAAACUGGGGCUAAUACCGGAUAGGAAUCCUUGCUGCAUGGUGGGGGUUGGAAAGCUUCGGCGGUUUUGGAUGGACUCGCGGCUUAUCAGCUUGUUGGUGGGGUAGUGGCUUACCAAGGCUUUGACGGGUAGCCGGCCUGAGAGGGCGACCGGCCACAUUGGGACUGAGAGACGGCCCAGACUCCUACGGGAGGCAGCAGUGGGGAAUAUUGCACAAUGGGCGGAAGCCUGAUGCAGCAACGCCGCGUGCGGGAUGACGGCCUUCGGGUUGUAAACCGCUUUCAGCAGGGGCGAAGCUUUUGUGACGGUACCUGCAGAAGAAGCACCGGCUAACUACG